GGAAUAUUGGACAAUGGGCGCAAGUCUGAACCAGCCAUGCCGCGUGGAGGAUGAAGGUCCUCUGGAUUGUCAACUUCUUUUAUAUGGGACGAAAAAGGGUCUUUCUAGAUCAACUGACGGUACCAUAUGAAUAAGCACCGGCUAACUCCGUGCAAGCAGCCGCGGUAAUACGGCGGGUGCAAGCGUUAUCCGGAUUAACUGGGUUUAAAGGGUGCGUAGGUGGGUUGGUAAGUCAGUGGUGAAAUCUCCGAGCUUAACUUGGAAACUGCCAUUGAUACUAUCAGUCUUGAAUAUUGUGGAGGUUAGCGGAAUAUGUCAUGUAGCGGUGAAAUGCUUAGAUAUGACAUAGAACACCAAUUGCGAAGGCAGCUGGCUACACAUAUAUUGACACUGAGGCACGAAAGCGUGGGGAUCAAAC
Molecule: ribosomal RNA, 418 nt
Filed under: uncultured bacterium
Lineage: Bacteria
Description: bacterial SSU rRNA
Rfam family: Bacterial small subunit ribosomal RNA
Source: RNAcentral